This 88-nucleotide small nuclear RNA is filed under the name Sus scrofa (pig). The record is from RNAcentral. Lineage: Eukaryota; Metazoa; Chordata; Mammalia; Artiodactyla; Suidae.
GGUGCAGUGCUUGCACCCUAUUUAUAGAGGAGUAGCAUGGCCCCAGUGGAAGGAUGACAUGCAAAUUCAUAAAUCAUUCCACAUUUUU